This 2565-nucleotide long non-coding RNA is filed under the name Homo sapiens (human). Its description in RNAcentral is "HSALNT0388309". Lineage: Eukaryota; Metazoa; Chordata; Mammalia; Primates; Hominidae. The record is from RNAcentral.
AGAAGCAGCUCCUCAUCCUGCUGUCCAAGGUGCGACUGUGCGGGGGGCGGCCCGCGCGGCCGGACCGCGGCCCGGAGCCUCAGCUCAAAGGCAUCGUCACCAAACUGUUCUGCCGCCAGGGUUUCUACCUCCAGGCGAAUCCCGACGGAAGCAUCCAGGGCACCCCAGAGGAUACCAGCUCCUUCACCCACUUCAACCUGAUCCCUGUGGGCCUCCGUGUGGUCACCAUCCAGAGCGCCAAGCUGGGUCACUACAUGGCCAUGAAUGCUGAGGGACUGCUCUACAGUUCGGUCCUACAUGGACUCAGAAGUUGUCCUCCCCCUCCCCCAAAAAGGAUUUGUGCUUUCCAUGAGCUCCUUUCUGCCCAGUGAUGUGUCUUUUUAUCUCUCUGUCUUUGUGCGCCUUUCUGGGUCUUUGUCUCCUUAGCCGCAUUUCACAGCUGAGUGUCGCUUUAAGGAGUGUGUCUUUGAGAAUUACUACGUCCUGUACGCCUCUGCUCUCUACCGCCAGCGUCGUUCUGGCCGGGCCUGGUACCUCGGCCUGGACAAGGAGGGCCAGGUCAUGAAGGGAAACCGAGUUAAGAAGACCAAGGCAGCUGCCCACUUUCUGCCCAAGCUCCUGGAGGUGGCCAUGUACCAGGAGCCUUCUCUCCACAGUGUCCCCGAGGCCUCCCCUUCCAGUCCCCCUGCCCCCUGAAAUGUAGUCCCUGGACUGGAGGUUCCCUGCACUCCCAGUGAGCCAGCCACCACCACAACCUGUCUCCCAGUCCUGCUCUCACCCCUGCUGCCACACACAUGCCCUGAGCAGCCAGGUCCCACUAGGUGCUCUACCCUGAGGGAGCCUAGGGGCUGACUGUGACUUCCGAGGCUGCUGAGACCCUUAGAUCUUUGGGCCUAGGAGGGAGUCAGAGAGGGGGAUGUCUGAAGAUGGUCCUGGCUGAUCACUUCUUUCUUUCCACACUCACACAACGCCAUGCCUUUUCCUGAGAUGGCGCUGGGAGUUCCCACAUGGACAGCCAGGGCAUAAACACUUCCCACCCCGGCUCAGCCAGUUCCUGGAGUCCUGUGCCCCUUUUCAUUGCCACUGAGCCAUUUCUAGAUUCACUGGAGCUCAGGAUUCAUGUGUCCUUCUUUCCCUACUCUACCUUCUACCUUGGUCUGGACACAUUCUGGAACACUGGACACCCUCGCCAGGGCCACUUCUGCACUAGGGCUCUGUGCUGGAACCCAGGCAUGCUGCCAGCCUUUUCUCUGGAUCUGUCAGGCCUCUGUCAUUGACUCAGAUGGACCCCUGGUUUCCAAGUAGAAAGAGGCUAGAUUUGGGCCUUGUCUAGCUGUUGGCUUUGGCCUGAACCGGAACCAGUCUCAGAUGACCACGGGUUUAACCUUCUUAUCCCAGAGACACCCAAUUCUAGAGCUUUAUGGAGCCGUACUUCCCCCUGAAUCCUAGCUCUAGGACAUAGAUCAUGACUCUCAGCCCUUUUACCCAGGAUGGAGCUGGGGCCUGUAUAGCCAUAUUAUUGUUCUAAGUAAGUUCUAGCCCCACCCUCCCGCCUUCUUGAGUGAUACCUAUUACGGAUGAGUUCUGGAAAAGACCCAGCUAUGAUUCAUAAAAACACUUCUGGAUGAAUCAAGAACCAUUUCUUGUUUUUCCUAGAUAAUUCUCUAAAAAUAUGAUUCUUCCAUAUAGAAUGCUAAGCUUAUUUUUACAUGCAGUUUCUAGCUCCUUCAACCCAGCUGAGGUCGUGCCAGGGAGACAGAGUCUGGAGAAGGGCAGAGGAAUUUUGGAAGGAUCCCUGGCUCAUAGUAGGGAAGCUGGGAUGGGGGAGGGGUCAAAAUUAUGGCAUGACUGAACCUGCAUCUGUGUUGGGUGGACAUGAAUACUUAGCUACCUCAGCAGGAAUUCCUUCCAGGUCCCCUUUAAAGCUGAGGUCCUUAGAGUAAUAUGUCCUUAAUAAAAAGGACAAAUGGAUACAGCCUUGACCCUCCCAGUGAGGAGACCCCAAUUCAGCAAUAAGUCUCACCCUUCUCCCCUACAGGUCAGGCCAAGAAGGGUGAAGGCCUCUUGCACUCCAGACCUCAUACGCCCCAACAGCUUCUAAUUGGAUAGAACUUGCUUUACCUUACAGCUCACAACCUCAGCUGGGUUUUAGGUACCCAAAAAGGGCCUGUCUAGAUUUUUUCAGAAAAACGUGGAGUGCUAGGGGCAGCCUGGAAAAGAUGGGGAACCUGCUAGUGAACUAGGAGGGAGACUUCCAUAGCCUCAGACUUGGAUAGGGUAGGCUGAGGGGGCCCUAAGGGAGGGACUAAGGCUCCAAGGCAGGUCACUUUUCCUUAGGCUGUUCUACUUCUGGCUUGUUGCAAGAGGAGUAGAUGCCCCCUCACCCACACAAACCCCACUCAGUCUCCACCCAACUCCUGGCACUGCUCCCAGGGGAUCGGGUCUCCACUCCAGCUUUCUCAAUUAAAGACGAUUUAUACAACUGAAGUGCUGUCUGUCAUCUGUCGGUGGCGGGCUUGGCAGUUGCUCGAGGCAGGAUCAAGUCCCGGGGGCGGGGCGGGUGGG